AUGAAAGAGCACCAUGUGAACACCAACCAGGCGUACUUCGGCAAUGGCACCAAACUCACAGUUCUGGAUCCAAACAUCAAAGUCACUGAACCCACAGUGAAAGUCCUAGCACCCUCCGCUAAGGAGUGUGAAGAUAGAAACAAGAAGAAGAAGAAGACCCUAGUGUGUGUAGCCACCCGCUUCUACCCCGACCACGUCACGGUCUUCUGGCAAAUCAACAAUGUCAACAGAACUGAAGGUGCCGGGACCGACAACAGGGCCUUGUGGGAUAAAGAUGGUUUAUACAGUAUCACCAGCAGACUGAGAGUCCCAGCCAAUGAAUGGCACAAACCAGAGAACAGAUUCACCUGCAUUGUCAGCUUUUACAAUGGGACUGACGAUAUAAAAGUGAAUGACACCAUUAGUGGAGAUCUCCAAGGUCAAAGUGGGGGAGAGAUAACGACAGAUUACUAUGUGAAGAGCACCCAGACUGCCAAGCUGGCCUACAGCAUCUUCAUCGCUAAGAGUACCUUCUAUGGCCUGGUCGUCAUGGUUAUGAUUUGGAAGUUCCAGGGCUCCUCAGAGAAACAGAUUUAACAGAAUACAAGCGGCCCAAGGAGGAUGUCCUGCAUGGGUGUUGAUUCUUCCAUGUGAUCAAGAACGGACUGGCAAAUGGGCAAUUCUGGCAAAUGCCAGAUGGACCGAUUCAUCUUUAGCCCAGUGGGCCUGUCUAAAUUGUAUUAUUUUUUUAGCAAAAUAAUAAUAAGUUGUCUAGUAAAGAGGUUCUUAAAGAAAAACAUGGGCAGGUGUGUUAGAAAUGCCUGGGCCGGUUUCUGGUCCCAGUUUGCCCCUGCAUGUGAUUGUAUUGUCCAUUGUGCUUAUUGUUGCCAGUAUCUCUUUAUUGCCCCGUCAAUGUGAAGAUGUGCUUUUAAGAAUCUUCUACGAACAUGAACUUGCAAUUUAAAUGUAUAUUUGAAUAAAUUCAGCCAAAACAACCUUUCCAUUAACUUACAAAAUCAAUGUCUGUUUGUUUUUCCAGUAAUUCCAGUAGAGUAUGUAUCAAUACACUUUGCUUUCCAAUUUCUAAAUGUUCAUUUGUGAAUAAUAAACGGUAUAUAAUUAGGGACAGAAUGUACCUCUCCACAGUUAAAUAUUUUCACGACCCUCCCCACAGUUUGGAUUGAUUGAUUGAUUUUAUUUGUCUGUAAAAAAAAAAAUACAUAUAUAUAUACAUAAUUUUUUUAAGUGACUGGGAUUGCACAAUAAAGUCUUGGACUUAUUUC
Non-coding RNA from Oncorhynchus nerka (sockeye salmon), 1262 nucleotides. The record is from the annotation of a RefSeq genome assembly. Lineage: Eukaryota; Metazoa; Chordata; Actinopteri; Salmoniformes; Salmonidae.